This 201-nucleotide unclassified non-coding RNA is filed under the name Hevea brasiliensis (rubber tree). Lineage: Eukaryota; Viridiplantae; Streptophyta; Magnoliopsida; Malpighiales; Euphorbiaceae. The record is from RNAcentral.
GUAAAUAUGCCUUUUAUAUAUUAUAUAAAGACAGCUUUUAUUUUUAAAAAUAGUGAUCACAACUGCUGACCUACAACCAAGCAUUGGCCACAGCGCGCAAAACACUAACAGGCCAGGAAAAGCCCUAACCCUUGAAGGAAGUCCUCACCAGAGACGCGAGGAAAAACUCCAGAGGAGAGCUUAAGAAAGAUAGAAAUUGGA